This 486-nucleotide ribosomal RNA is filed under the name uncultured bacterium. Its description in RNAcentral is "partial 16S ribosomal RNA". It matches the Rfam family "Bacterial small subunit ribosomal RNA", at positions 30 to 507 of the family's 1533-position model. The record is from RNAcentral.
AUUGAACGCUGGCGGCAUGCCCUACACAUGCAAGUCGAACGGCAGCACGGGUGCUUGCACCUGGUGGCGAGUGGCGAACGGGUGAGUAAUACAUCGGAACAUGUCCUGUAGUGGGGGAUAGCCCGGCGAAAGCCGGAUUAAUACCGCAUACGAUCUACGGAUGAAAGCGGGGGACCUUCGGGCCUCGCGCUAUAGGGUUGGCCGAUGGCUGAUUAGCUAGUUGGUGGGGUAAAGGCCUACCAAGGCGACGAUCAGUAGCUGGUCUGAGAGGACGACCAGCCACACUGGGACUGAGACACGGCCCAGACUCCUACGGGAGGCAGCAGUGGGGAAUUUUGGACAAUGGGCGAAAGCCUGAUCCAGCAAUGCCGCGUGUGUGAAGAAGGCCUUCGGGUUGUAAAGCACUUUUGUCCGGAAAGAAAUCCUUGGCCCUAAUACGGUCGGGGGAUGACGGUACCGGAAGAAUAAGCACCGGCUAACUACGUG